This is a long non-coding RNA of Monopterus albus (swamp eel), 721 nucleotides long. RefSeq lists it as uncharacterized. The record is from RefSeq and is a predicted model, not a curated record. NCBI's taxonomy places the organism in Eukaryota, Metazoa, Chordata, Actinopteri, Synbranchiformes, Synbranchidae. The transcript is spliced from 3 exons.
ACUUUGGAUCAUUUUGAAAUUUUGAAAUGUGGCCAUCAGGACACCAUCACAAUCAUCAUCAUCAUUGCCAUCAGCCAAAUCAAAUGUAUGGGGUAUACCCUCAGGUUGUACCAGGCUAUGUCCCACCCCAACCUUACGGCCCACCUAUGGCCCCCCAAAUUGUAGGGUAUGGAGGGGUUUAUGGUCCUGGAUAUGAAAAUGGGUACAACGGAUAUGGCCACCAUGAACACGGGCACCAUGGACAUGGGCACCAUGAGCACCAUGGCCACCAUGGUCAUCAUGGCCACCAUGGCCACUAGCAUCAUCACCACCACAAACAUAAGCAGGGUCACAUGCACAACAAAUAUCACAGGACAGGAAAGCGUUGUCAUGGGCACUCCAGCAGCUCCUGCAGCAGCGACUCUGACUAGAUGAAGAUUCCUCGCCAUGAAGAGAAACAUGACAAGUUGCUACCUGGACGCCUUCUUCUUCCUACUUACAAUAAUCAGUUUAUUCACUCACCUACUUUUUAAAGCGUGUGUUUUAAAUACAACACACGGGUUUUAGGAAUCUUUCAGAGUCAUGUUUAAGUUAUGUGUUAAACCAUAUUACAUAUUAAAGUAGACAGAGCUGGACACAUACAGCUGCUGCUGUUUUGACAAGGACAUCAGCAGUAGUCAGUGUGUGACACUGUGUAUGCUUUUUAUAUACUGGACGCUGAUCAUAAUUGUUGUCUUGUAAU